GAAGCAUGACGCCGUUGCCUGCUGCAUGUUCCCUUGAUCACAGCCGAUCGAGGACAAAGCAUGCAGCAGUUAAAAAUGCUACAGCAAGCCUUGCGCGUCUGAUAAGACGCGGCGCUGUAGCGUCGGGUAUGCACCACAAGCUCGCUUCGGCGCAUAUGUCCGCAUUCGCGCCUGGAACGCAAUGUUUCAGGCUUUGGUGUCAAGCUCACGAGAUAGUGCGACGGCGGCGGCUUGUCAGCCGCCCCGCGGGGUCUAAAUUGAAAAA
RNAcentral lists this small RNA (265 nucleotides) under Sinorhizobium meliloti 2011. RNAcentral's name for it is "putative ncRNA". Lineage: Bacteria; Pseudomonadati; Pseudomonadota; Alphaproteobacteria; Hyphomicrobiales; Rhizobiaceae. The record is from RNAcentral.